Molecule: ribosomal RNA, 464 nt
Filed under: uncultured bacterium BHC12
Lineage: Bacteria
Description: bacterial SSU rRNA
Rfam family: Bacterial small subunit ribosomal RNA
Source: RNAcentral
GAUCCUGGCUCAGAUUGGAACGCUGGCGGCAGGCCUAACACAUGCAAGUCGAGCGCGAAAACACUUCGGUGUGAGUAGAGCGGCGGACGGGUGAGUAACGCGUAGGAAUCUACCUAGUAGUGGGGGACAACUCGGGGAAACUCGAGCUAAUACCGCAUAAGCCCUACGGGGGAAAGCGGGGGACCUUCGGGCCUCGCGCUAUUAGAUGAGCCUGCGUUGGAUUAGCUAGUUGGUGGGGUAAAGGCCUACCAAGGCGACGAUCCAUAGCUGGUCUGAGAGGAUGAUCAGCCACACCGGGACUGAGACACGGCCCGGACUCCUACGGGAGGCAGCAGUGGGGAAUAUUGCGCAAUGGGCGAAAGCCUGACGCAGCCAUGCCGCGUGUGUUGAAGAAGGCCUUCGGGUUGUAAAGCACUUUCAAUUGGGAGGAAAGGUUCACGGUUAAUAACCGUGAGCUGUGACCG